This 520-nucleotide ribosomal RNA is filed under the name uncultured Glomus. Its description in RNAcentral is "SSU rRNA". It matches the Rfam family "Eukaryotic small subunit ribosomal RNA", at positions 569 to 1081 of the family's 1831-position model. Lineage: Eukaryota; Fungi; Glomeromycota; Glomeromycetes; Glomerales; Glomeraceae. The record is from RNAcentral.
AGCAGCCGCGGUAAUUCCAGCUCCAAUAGCGUAUAUUAAAGUUGUUGCAGUUAAAAAGCUCGUAGUUGAAUUUCGGGAUUAGCAGGUCGGUCGUGCCACUGGUACGUACUGGUCUUGCUGAUUCCUCCCUCUUGACGAGCCGUAAUGCCAUUAAUUUGGUGUUGCGGGGAAUCAGGACUGUUACUUUGAAAAAAUUAGAGUGUUUAAAGCAGGCAUGCGCUUGAAUACAUUAGCAUGGAAUAAUGAAAUAGGACGUUCGAUCUUAUUUUGUUGGUUUCUAGGAUUGACGUAAUGAUUAAUAGGGAUAGUUGGGGGCAUUAGUAUUCAAUUGUCAGAGGUGAAAUUCUUGGAUUUAUUGAAGACUAACUACUGCGAAAGCAUUUGCCAAAGGAUGUUUUCAUUUAAAUCUAAAGAACGAAAGUUAGGGGAUCGAAAGACGAUCAGAUACCGUCGUAGUCUUAAACCAUAAACUAUGCCGACUAGGGAUCGGAUGAAUGUUAAUUAUUUAAUGACGUCAUUC